GUAGACCGAGCUCGCCGUGCUGCUUGUUGUCAAUGCCAACACGGGGAGGGCCGACAAGCAGAACAUGGUCCCUACACCAACAGGUCAGGUUUCCCUGGCUGCUCGGCAGUUCUCAGAUUGUUCCCUAAUUUUCCCUGAUGUCAUAGGAAACUAGCUCAGUCGAUGUACCUAGAGAAGUUGGACUGGAAGAAGGACCAUGAGGAGAGCAAUUAGACUCUGUUGUCGAUGAAUAGGACGAUGGACACUUAAAUGCAAGGAUUAAUUGUGAAUGGGAGAAUAGAAUGGCCGUGCUGAGUACUGGUUGAAGAAGGGAUGAGUAGGGAGGGAGGAUCAGAUCUGUGAGCACAUUGAUUAUGAUGUUUGCCGAUGUGAAGG
Molecule: long non-coding RNA, 375 nt
Organism: Hordeum vulgare subsp. vulgare (domesticated barley)
Lineage: Eukaryota; Viridiplantae; Streptophyta; Magnoliopsida; Poales; Poaceae
Exons: 3
Source: RefSeq, a predicted model, not a curated record